ACGAGAACAGUGCUUGAACCCCUGACCUCUCUUAAGAACUGAGAGUGCUCGAAACCGACACAGGUGGAUAGGUAGAGAAUACCUAGGGGCGGAGACAACUCUCUCUAAGGAACUCGGUAAAAUAGCCCUGUAACUUCGGGAGAAGAGGUGCCUCCUCACAAAGGGGGUCGCAGUGACCAGGCCCGGGCGACUGUUUACCAAAAACACAGGUCUCCGCAAAGUCGUAAGACCAUGUAUGGGGGCUGACGCCUACCCAGUGCCGGAAGGUCAAGGAAGUUGGUGACCCGAUGACAGGGGAGCCAACGAUUGAAGCCCCAGUGAACGGCGGCCAUAACUAUAACGGUCCUAAGGUAGCGAAAUUCCUUGUUAGGUAAGUUUUGACCCGCACGAAAGGCGUAACGAUCUGGGCACUGUCCUGGAGAGAGGCUCGGUGAAA
The sequence is a ribosomal RNA, 436 nucleotides long. It matches the Rfam family "Bacterial large subunit ribosomal RNA", at positions 1309 to 2041 of the family's 2925-position model. The record is from Rfam.